CAAUAGCGUAUAUUAAAGUUGUUGCAGUUAAAAAGCUCGUAGUUGGAUUUCUGGUGGGAGCGAUCGGUCUGGCGCUUAGCGCGAGUACUUGCAUCGUCUCCGGCCAUCCUUGGGGAGAGUCUGUCUGGCAUUAAGUUGUCGGGCAGAGGAUCCUCAUCGUUUACUGUGGAAAAAUUAGAGUGUUCAAAGCAGGCUUAUGCCGUUGAAUAUAUUAGCAUGGAAUAAUAAGAUAGGACUUUGGUACUAUUUUGUUGGUUUGCGCACCAAAGUAAUGAUUAAUAGGGACAGUUGGGGGCAUUCGUAUUCCGUUGUCAGAGGUGAAAUUCUUGGAUUUACGGAAGACGAACUACUGCGAAAGCAUUUACCAAGGAUGUUUUCAUUAA
This 383-nucleotide ribosomal RNA is filed under the name uncultured eukaryote. RNAcentral describes it as "partial 18S ribosomal RNA". It matches the Rfam family "Eukaryotic small subunit ribosomal RNA", at positions 592 to 976 of the family's 1831-position model. The record is from RNAcentral.